GUGCGAAGGUAGCAUAAUCACUUGUUCUUUAAAUGAGGACUCGUAUCAACGGCACUACGAGGGCUAUACUGUCUCCUUUUUCUAAUCAGUGAAACUGAUCUCCCCGUGAAGAAGCGGGGAUCAAAAUAUAAGACGAGAAGACCCCAUGGAGCUUUAAACUCAUCACGCACCUCUGUGCCCUCAUACCCUCAAACACAAGAGAUCUACGUGCUAGUUUUAGGUUGGGGGGACCACGGAGUAUAACUUAACCUCCAUAACAAAUGGGCUAACACCCUUAUCCAUGAGACACAGCUCUAAGAAUUACUAAACUAAUGCUUAUGACCCGAUAUUCGAUCAAUGAACCAAGUUACCCUGGGGAUAACAGCGCAAUCUACUUCAAGAGCCCAUAUCGACAAGUAGGUUUACGACCUCGAUGUUGGAUCAGGGUAU
Molecule: ribosomal RNA, 429 nt
Filed under: Rana temporaria (common frog)
Lineage: Eukaryota; Metazoa; Chordata; Amphibia; Anura; Ranidae
Description: partial large subunit ribosomal RNA
Rfam family: Bacterial large subunit ribosomal RNA
Source: RNAcentral